CACGCAGGCGGUCUUUUAAGUUUGACGUGAAAGCUCCCGGCUUAACUGGGAGAGGUCGUUGAAGACUGGAAGACUUGAGGCAAUGAGAGGGGUGUAGAAUUCCCGGUGUAGUGGUGGAAUGCGUAGAUAUCGGGGGGAAUACCAGUGGCGAAAGCGGCACCCUAGCGUUAGCCUGACGCUCAUGUGCGAAAGCGUGGGGAGGCGAACG
RNAcentral lists this ribosomal RNA (208 nucleotides) under uncultured bacterium. RNAcentral's name for it is "partial 16S ribosomal RNA". It matches the Rfam family "Bacterial small subunit ribosomal RNA", at positions 568 to 774 of the family's 1533-position model. The record is from RNAcentral.